Molecule: ribosomal RNA, 254 nt
Filed under: uncultured bacterium
Lineage: Bacteria
Description: partial 16S ribosomal RNA
Rfam family: Bacterial small subunit ribosomal RNA
Source: RNAcentral
UACGUAGGGUGCGAGCGUUGUCCGGAAUUAUUGGGCGUAAAGAGCUCGUAGGCGGUGUGUCGCGUCGGCCGUGAAAACCUGCAGCUUAACUGUGGGCUUGCGGUCGAUACGGGCAUCACUGGAGUUCGGCAGGGGAGACUGGAAUUUCUGGUGUAGCGGUGAAAUGCGCAGAUAUCAGGAGGAACACCGGUGGCGAAGGCGGGUCUCUGGGCCGAUACUGACGCUGAGGAGCGAAAGCGUGGGGAGCGAACAGG